CGCAAAUUACCCAAUCCUGACACAGGGAGGUAGUGACAAUGAAAUAACAAUACAGGGCGAAUGUCUUGUAAUUGGAAUGAUGGUGACCCAAACCCUCACCAGAGUAGCAAUUGGAGGGCAAGUCUGGUGCCAGCAGCCGCGGUAAUUCCAGCUCCAAUAGCGUAUAUUAAACUUGUUGCAGUUAAAAAGCUCGUAGUUGUAUUUUUGCGUUGACGGUUUGACCAUUUGGUUGGUUAUUUCGUUUUCGCUUUUGGGAAUUUCCCUUUUUACUUUGAGAAAAUUAGAGUGUUUCAAGCAGACUUUUGUCUUGAAUACUUCAGCAUGGAAUAAUAGAGUAGGACUUUGGUUCUAUUUUGUUGGUUAUUGAACCUUAGUAAUGGUUAAUAGGAACGGUUGGGGGCAUUUCGUAUUU
RNAcentral lists this ribosomal RNA (412 nucleotides) under Babesia canis canis. RNAcentral's name for it is "SSU rRNA". It matches the Rfam family "Eukaryotic small subunit ribosomal RNA", at positions 435 to 899 of the family's 1831-position model. The record is from RNAcentral. Lineage: Eukaryota; Apicomplexa; Aconoidasida; Piroplasmida; Babesiidae.